AACCAUUCCAAUCUCAUGUGCUAGGCAUCUUAUUUUAACUGAGCAUUUUCACACAACAUUCUCAUUGCCACUCUCCCAAUCUCUAAAGCGAGGAAGAUGAAUACGCUCAAGGUUCUUUUGAGAUCCACCUCUCCUUAUGUCCACCCCUCCACGGUUCCCAUCACAUAGAACGUCAACUAACGGUUGUAACAUUUUCUCAACCAUCCGAUUGUAACAGCAUUCUCAUUGCCACUCUCCCAAUCUCUAAAGCAGACCCAAGUCAGGGCGUAAAGAGGAAAAAUGAUGAUUUUCUUGUCUACUUUUGGAUGGAGCAUGAUAAAGACAAGUUCAAUUUUCUUCUAUCAGUUGGUGAUCUCUCAUAUGAAUCAAUUGAGCAAAAUGUCAUAGAUGCGUGUGGUAUAGAGAGAGGAACAUUUACUCUUCAUUACAAGGAUAGGAAGGGGAAUGAGAUCAGGAUUUAAAACGAUCACAAUCUGAACACAUGAAUCAAGCUUUUGGGCUUCGAGGUUGAACAUCCGAUUAAGAAAAAAAUGAACACACAUGUUUGAUUGUGUAGUUUGAUGUUAUUUAGAGUUUUUGUUGCAUUUCUCAAGUCAGAAGUAUAUGCAGUUGAAUCACGAUGAUAACUCCUCGAUUAUGGUUUCAUUUUGGUUAAGAAAAUGCAAGAUACUUUGUUAUAUAUUAUUUGAAUUUCAUCCCUUGAAACGAUGAAUUUGAUUCUUGUAUUUUCAUGAGUACACAAAUGCUCAAGAGUUAUUUAUAGCUACUGAUAAUGGACAUGAGCUUAUGUAGAACAAAUGUAAUAAAUCAGGUUUGAGAAUCA
Helianthus annuus (common sunflower) is the source of this 823-nucleotide long non-coding RNA. RefSeq lists it as uncharacterized. The record is from RefSeq and is a predicted model, not a curated record. Lineage: Eukaryota; Viridiplantae; Streptophyta; Magnoliopsida; Asterales; Asteraceae. The transcript is spliced from 2 exons.